GCGGAUGUGGCGGAAUUGGCAGACGCGCUAGAUUCAGGUUCUAGUGAAUGUACAUUCAUGUGGGUUCAAGUCCCGUCAUCCGCACCA
RNAcentral lists this transfer RNA (87 nucleotides) under Clostridiales bacterium. RNAcentral describes it as "tRNA-Leu". It matches the Rfam family "tRNA". From Rfam's summary of the family: Transfer RNA (tRNA) molecules are approximately 80 nucleotides in length. Their secondary structure includes four short double-helical elements and three loops (D, anti-codon, and T loops). Further hydrogen bonds mediate the characteristic L-shaped molecular structure. tRNAs have two regions of fundamental functional importance: the anti-codon, which is responsible for specific mRNA codon recognition, and the 3' end, to which the tRNAs corresponding amino acid is attached (by aminoacyl-tRNA synthetases). tRNAs cope with the degeneracy of the genetic code in two manners: having more than one tRNA (with a specific anti-codon) for a particular amino acid; and 'wobble' base-pairing, i.e. permitting non-standard base-pairing at the 3rd anti-codon position. The record is from RNAcentral. Lineage: Bacteria; Bacillati; Bacillota; Clostridia; Eubacteriales.